CGACCGGCGCACGGGUGAGUAACACGUAUCCAACCCGCCGUCUACUCUUGGCCAGCCUUCUGAAAGGAAGAUUAAUCCAGGAUGGGAUCAUGAGUUCACAUGUCCGCAUGAUUAAAGGUAUUUUCCGGUAGACGAUGGGGAUGCGUUCCAUUAGAUAGUAGGCGGGGUAACGGCCCACCUAGUCAACGAUGGAUAGGGGUUCUGAGAGGAAGGUCCCCCACAUUGGAACUGAGACACGGUCCAA
This 244-nucleotide ribosomal RNA is filed under the name uncultured bacterium. RNAcentral describes it as "partial 16S ribosomal RNA". It matches the Rfam family "Bacterial small subunit ribosomal RNA", at positions 92 to 334 of the family's 1533-position model. The record is from RNAcentral.